Molecule: ribosomal RNA, 376 nt
Filed under: uncultured bacterium
Lineage: Bacteria
Description: bacterial SSU rRNA
Rfam family: Bacterial small subunit ribosomal RNA
Source: RNAcentral
CACGUAGGAGGCGAACGUUAUCCGGAUUUACUGGGCGUAAAGCGCGUGUAGGUGGUUCUGUAAGUAGGGCGUGAAAGCUCCUGGCUCAACUGGGAGAGGCCGUUCUAAACUACAGAACUAGAGGAUGGUAGAGGGAGGUGGAAUUCCAGGUGUAGCGGUGGAAUGCGCAGAUAUCUGGAGGAACACCAGUGGCGAAGGCGGCCUCCUGGACCAUUCCUGACACUCAGACGCGAAAGCUAGGGUAGCAAACGGGAUUAGAGACCCCGGUAGUCCUAGCCCUAAACGAUGUAGACUAGGCGUCGGAAGUUUAAUCACUUUCGGUGUCCAAGCUAACGCGAUAAGUCUACCGCCUGGGGACUACGGCCGCAAGGUUAAA